UGGUAUAGCAACCCGAACUUUGUUUUGUUUAGUAAAUAAACAAAUUUGCGGUGACAAAUUUUGGUGGAAAAUUACAAAAUUGCUACGUCCCUUAAACAUGUCUUCUGACGCUAAUAAGGUCUCCAAUUUUAUUUUACGUGCCUUGAAAGAUCAAAAGAAUCACUCGUCGACGAAUGUUGGUGUAUCUGAAGAGCAAUUGCGGAACAUUCUCACGGACAAAUACCGUUUCGAACUUUGGCGUUAUACGCAGAGCCGGGGACAAAUAUUAUUUGGGGGAUGUUUCGCUAGACAUUGUUGAGGGUCGUCGCCGUAGGAAGAAGGGUGGUUCGUCUAGGAGCCGGUCACAUGGUAAAUCUAAACGGGGAAAAGGUCGAAGAAGGAAGCGGAGUGCUUCUUCCUCAAGUCGUUCCUCUUCCCGUGGAAGAAGCCGGAGCAGAAGACGCAGGGGGCGAUCGUGUAAUUAGACCUAUAUGUUUGUGGAAAUUAUACUAUUUCAUUAUCAUUGUAAAUCUUUUGCGGUUAUAAAAUAUACAUCUGUAAAUAAAUUCACUAGCUUUUGGUAA
Photinus pyralis (common eastern firefly) is the source of this 563-nucleotide long non-coding RNA. RefSeq lists it as uncharacterized. The transcript is spliced from 2 exons. Lineage: Eukaryota; Metazoa; Arthropoda; Insecta; Coleoptera; Lampyridae. The record is from RefSeq and is a predicted model, not a curated record.